RNAcentral lists this ribosomal RNA (336 nucleotides) under Triticum aestivum (bread wheat). RNAcentral's name for it is "partial small subunit ribosomal RNA". Lineage: Eukaryota; Viridiplantae; Streptophyta; Magnoliopsida; Poales; Poaceae. The record is from RNAcentral.
AUGGCGCAGCGGGAUAGCUCCUGGGUACCUGGAAGAGAGAGAUGUGAGAGGGAGAGAGAAAAGAGAAAGGAGAAAAGGAGGAAGAACGGGAGGACAAGGGGAAAGAAAAAGGAUGAGGCGCAGGGCCUGCUGGUUCGGUGGUGGUUGUCGCCGUUGGCGUCUGGUACUCGGGCGAGGCGGCGCUGGUGGAUCGAGGUGCUCGGGGACGAGCUAGCAGAGGAGGGGAUCGAUGGAUUUGGAAGGAGUGCACUAGUUGGGUGGCGGCGGAAAUCAAGGGAGAGGGUCGGAGAGAAUUUGGAUCGGGAGGAGAUCCCGAGGUGGGAUGGUGAGUGGUGA